RNAcentral lists this non-coding RNA (21 nucleotides) under Caenorhabditis elegans. Lineage: Eukaryota; Metazoa; Nematoda; Chromadorea; Rhabditida; Rhabditidae. The record is from RNAcentral.
UAGAAUCACAUUUUUUGGUGU